AUACGGAGGAUCCGAGCGUUAUCCGGAUUUAUUGGGUUUAAAGGGUGCGCAGGCGGCCAUUUAAGUCAGCGGUUAAAUCGUGGGGCUCAACCCCAUUCUGCCGUUGAUACUGGGUGGCUUGAUUGCGGUCGAGGUUGGCGGAAUUCGUUGUGUAGCGGUGAAAUGCAUAGAUAUGACGAAGAACACCGAUUGCGUAGGCAGCUGACCAGACCGCAAAUGACGCUCAUGCACGAAAGUGCGGGGAUCGAAUAGGAUUAGAUACCCUGGUAGUCCGCACAGUAAACGAUGAAUACUUGUUUUCGGCGAUAUAAUGUCGGAGGCAAAGCGAAAGCGAUAAGUAUUCCACCUGGGGAAUACGCCGGCAACGGUGAAACUCAAAUGAAUUGACGGGG
Molecule: ribosomal RNA, 392 nt
Filed under: uncultured bacterium
Lineage: Bacteria
Description: partial 16S ribosomal RNA
Rfam family: Bacterial small subunit ribosomal RNA
Source: RNAcentral